RNAcentral lists this ribosomal RNA (1033 nucleotides) under Escherichia coli. Its description in RNAcentral is "partial 23S ribosomal RNA". It matches the Rfam family "Bacterial large subunit ribosomal RNA", at positions 719 to 1751 of the family's 2925-position model. Lineage: Bacteria; Pseudomonadati; Pseudomonadota; Gammaproteobacteria; Enterobacterales; Enterobacteriaceae. The record is from RNAcentral.
AACCCGGUGAUCUAGCCAUGGGCAGGUUGAAGGUUGGGUAACACUAACUGGAGGACCGAACCGACUAAUGUUGAAAAAUUAGCGGAUGACUUGUGGCUGGGGGUGAAAGGCCAAUCAAACCGGGAGAUAGCUGGUUCUCCCCGAAAGCUAUUUAGGUAGCGCCUCGUGAAUUCAUCUCCGGGGGUAGAGCACUGUUUCGGCAAGGGGGUCAUCCCGACUUACCAACCCGAUGCAAACUGCGAAUACCGGAGAAUGUUAUCACGGGAGACACACGGCGGGUGCUAACGUCCGUCGUGAAGAGGGAAACAACCCAGACCGCCAGCUAAGGUCCCAAAGUCAUGGUUAAGUGGGAAACGAUGUGGGAAGGCCCAGACAGCCAGGAUGUUGGCUUAGAAGCAGCCAUCAUUUAAAGAAAGCGUAAUAGCUCACUGGUCGAGUCGGCCUGCGCGGAAGAUGUAACGGGGCUAAACCAUGCACCGAAGCUGCGGCAGCGACGCUGAUGCGUUGUUGGGUAGGGGAGCGUUCUGUAAGCCUGUGAAGGUGUGCUGUGAGGCAUGCUGGAGGUAUCAGAAGUGCGAAUGCUGACAUAAGUAACGAUAAAGCGGGUGAAAAGCCCGCUCGCCGGAAGACCAAGGGUUCCUGUCCAACGUUAAUCGGGGCAGGGUGAGUCGACCCCUAAGGCGAGGCCGAAAGGCGUAGUCGAUGGGAAACAGGUUAAUAUUCCUGUACUUGGUGUUACUGCGAAGGGGGGACGGAGAAGGCUAUGUUGGCCGGGCGACGGUUGUCCCGGUUUAAGCGUGUAGGCUGGUUUUCCAGGCAAAUCCGGAAAAUCAAGGCUGAGGCGUGAUGACGAGGCACUACGGUGCUGAAGCAACAAAUGCCCUGCUUCCAGGAAAAGCCUCUAAGCAUCAGGUAACAUCAAAUCGUACCCCAAACCGACACAGGUGGUCAGGUAGAGAAUACCAAGGCGCUUGAGAGAACUCGGGUGAAGGAACUAGGCAAAAUGGUGCCGUAACUUCGGGAGAAGGCACGC